Non-coding RNA from Caenorhabditis elegans, 21 nucleotides. The record is from Ensembl. NCBI's taxonomy places the organism in Eukaryota, Metazoa, Nematoda, Chromadorea, Rhabditida, Rhabditidae.
UUCCUAGUCUCUUAAUUAGCU